CUUAGCUUGGCAGAUUUUAAUGCGAUUGGUUUAGGACCAAUUUAUAGUAUAAGUUACUAGCUAAUU
Molecule: transfer RNA, 66 nt
Filed under: Umbraculum mediterraneum
Lineage: Eukaryota; Metazoa; Mollusca; Gastropoda; Umbraculida; Umbraculidae
Description: tRNA-Leu
Source: RNAcentral